GUCGAGCGGGCCCUUCGGGGUCAGCGGCGGACGGGUGAGUAACGCGUGGGAACGUGCCUUCUGGUUCGGAAUAACCCUGGGAAACUAGGGCUAAUACCGGAUACGCCCUUUUGGGGAAAGGUUUACUGCCGGAAGAUCGGCCCGCGUCUGAUUAGCUAGUUGGUGGGGUAACGGCCUACCAAGGCGACGAUCAGUAGCUGGUCUGAGAGGAUGAUCAGCCACACUGGGACUGAGACACGGCCCAGACUCCUACGGGAGGCAGCAGUGGGGAAUAUUGGACAAUGGGCGCAAGCCUGAUCCAGCCAUGCCGCGUGAGUGAUGAAGGCCUUAGGGUUGUAAAGCUCUUUUAUCCGGGACGAUAAUGACG
Molecule: ribosomal RNA, 367 nt
Filed under: Methylobacterium radiotolerans
Lineage: Bacteria; Pseudomonadati; Pseudomonadota; Alphaproteobacteria; Hyphomicrobiales; Methylobacteriaceae
Description: bacterial SSU rRNA
Rfam family: Bacterial small subunit ribosomal RNA
Source: RNAcentral